UCUAGAUUUUAGUUAGGGUUUCUUAUGAUUAUAAAUUUUGUGUUUGUGUUACUAUCUCACCUGAUUUGUCCCUAAAUUCCUAACCCCUUUCAAGUUGUAGAUGUUUUACACCCCCACUUUCGUGCUCUUUCUUUAAGUUGAUCGUCAAUCGCUUAUGGAAAUCCAUAUCGGCUUCGUAAGACCAACAGUUGAGGCUUCGUUUUUCAGAGUUGCUAUGUGAUUGAUUAGGAUUGAAGCAUUCAUGUCGAUUCAUUUGGAAUCUAUCUCACACGAAUCUUUUCAGUCUAAUUUAAGAUUUUUUUUUAAUUUUAGAUAUACGUCUAGAAACACCUGUUUACAACACGAUUAUUAGUGUAUUAAGGUCUAUUUGUUUUGUGGUUUGCUAUAACCAGAGAGACGUCAAUUAAGGCUUUGAAUAUGUCAUUAAUAUUACUUUUUUGUGUUCUUUCUCAGGCUUGUGAGUUUAAUUGCUCUUUUAAUUGAAGGUUCGUCAUUAGAAGAAAGAUUUGAUGGUUUCUUGAGAUCUAGGAUGGGGAAUUUAGCUACAGAAUUUGUCAAUCAGAAAAUGUUGUUUUGUUUCAGUUGGGUUCGUUCACUGGAUGUGGGUUUCGGGGAGAAGGAAGGAUUGAACCAGGGGUUCAUGUGCUGCUUAAAGAGGGGAAUACGGUCAAGAUUGGUGGUUCAAGUAGGGUUAAUAAGCUGCAUUGGGUCCCACGUAAUCAAGCGUAUGAUGUCGAUGAACAGUUUGUGUUAGCUGUUUAUCCAAUCAAAGGAGGAGGAGAAGAAGAAUUGAAUCAGGAGUUUACAUGAAGAAUACCCGUCCCAUGUUUUCAACUUUUCAAAACCACCAAGGAACGUUGUUGCAUGUUGUUAGUGAUCCUUGCUCAUGUUGGUGUAGUACAUAAAAAUUGCAGUUUCCACAACAUUAGCAGCAAACGAUUGCUCAGCAGCUUAGGCAAUCUCCAAUGACUGGAUCAGGGGAGAUUUGGUCUUCAACACGUAAACAUCAAGUGUCCAUUUUGUAGAUAGUUGGGGCGUUUUGGGUAUUUACCAUCCAUCGAGCGUAAUGAUACAUGUUAGCUUGUAAAUUUAGCGAUCAUGAUACAAUUCUACUGUGGAAAUACAUGCAUGGCAGGUUAUGAUGACUGGAGCAAUGUUGAUAGCUUGGUUUUGACCGAAAAUUGCAGGCCAGAUAUAACUUUUCUAUAAACAAGAACCUUCAGCAUAUGAUUCCCACUAGGCUGUAGUUUAUAAGGGAAAAGAUGCAUGUGGUCACACCAACUAUAGAGGUAACAAACAGACACCAUGUUUGUACCGGAAUGAUCCUUUGUUUCUUCACUUUUUGCAUAACAUAGAUUUGGAGUGCAUUUAGAAAUUUGAGCCAAAUUUGUUUUUCUUUAUGAAAAGAAAAUCUAGGCAAUUGCUUGCAAGUUGUAACAUUACU
Molecule: long non-coding RNA, 1444 nt
Organism: Helianthus annuus (common sunflower)
Lineage: Eukaryota; Viridiplantae; Streptophyta; Magnoliopsida; Asterales; Asteraceae
Exons: 4
Source: RefSeq, a predicted model, not a curated record